UAGGGAAUUUUGGACAAUGGGCGAAAGCCUGAUCCAGCAAUGCCGCGUGUGUGAAGAAGGCCUUCGGGUUGUAAAGCACUUUUGUCCGGAAAGAAAUCCUUGGCUCUAAUACAGUCGGGGGAUGACGGUACCGGAAGAAUAAGCACCGGCUAACUACGUGCCAGCAGCCGCGGUAAUACGUAGGGUGCAAGCGUUAAUCGGAAUUACUGGGCGUAAAGCGUGCGCAGGCGGUUUGCUAAGACCGAUGUGAAAUCCCCGGGCUCAACCUGGGAACUGCAUUGGUGACUGGCAGGCUAGAGUAUGGCAGAGGGGGGUAGAAUUCCACGUGUAGCAGUGAAAUGCGUAGAGAUGUGGAGGAAUACCGAUGGCGAAGGCAGCCCCCUGGGCCAAAUACUGACGCUCAUGCACGAAAGCGUGGGGAGCAAAACAGGAUUAGAUACCCUGGUAGUCCACGCCCUAAAACGAUGUCAACUAGUUGUUGGGGAUUCAUUUCCUUAGUAACGUAGCUAACGCGUGAAGUUGACCGCCUGGGGAGUACGGUCGCAAGAUUAAAACUCAAAUGAAUUGACGGGGUCGUAGCUGUUUCCU
Molecule: ribosomal RNA, 588 nt
Filed under: uncultured bacterium
Lineage: Bacteria
Description: partial 16S ribosomal RNA
Rfam family: Bacterial small subunit ribosomal RNA
Source: RNAcentral